Molecule: ribosomal RNA, 725 nt
Filed under: uncultured archaeon
Lineage: Archaea
Description: bacterial SSU rRNA
Rfam family: Archaeal small subunit ribosomal RNA
Source: RNAcentral
CCUGGCGGAGGUCACUGCUAUCGGGGUUCGAUUAAGCCAUGCGAGUCGAGAGGGUUCAGACCCUCGGCGGACUGCUCAGUAACACGUGGAUAAUCUGCCCUAUGGUGGAGGAUAACCCCGGGAAACUGGGGAUAAUACUCCAUAAGUCAGGAGUACUGGAAUGUCUCCUAACUGAAAGUUGCGGCGCCAUAGGAUGAAUCUGCGGCCGAUUAGGUAGUUGUUGGGGUAACGGCCCAACAAGCCCGUAAUCGGUACGGGUUGUGGGAGCAAGAGCCCGGAGAUGGAAUCUGAGACACGAUUCCAGGCCCUACGGGGCGCAGCAGGCGCGAAAACUUUACAAUGCAGGAAACUGUGAUAAGGGAACCCCGAGUGCCCGUAAACGCGGGCUGUCCCGGUGUUUAAAACACAUCGGAAGAAAGGGCCGGGCAAGACCGGUGCCAGCCGCCGCGGUAAUACCGGCGGCUCGAGUGGUGACCACUUUUAUUGCUUAAAGCGUUCGUAGCUUGAUUUUUAAGUCUCUUGGGAAAUCUCACGGCUUAACUGUGAGGCGUCUAAGAGAUACUGGGAAUCUAGGGACCGGGAGAGGUAAGAGGUACUUCAGGGGUAGAAGUGAAAUUCUGUAAUCCUUGAGGGACCACCGAUGGCGAAGGCAUCUUACCAGAACGGCUUCGACAGUGAGGAACGAAAGCUGGGGGAGCGAACGGGAUUAGAUACCCCGGUAGUCC